Molecule: ribosomal RNA, 1068 nt
Filed under: Bacillus tequilensis
Lineage: Bacteria; Bacillati; Bacillota; Bacilli; Caryophanales; Bacillaceae
Description: bacterial SSU rRNA
Rfam family: Bacterial small subunit ribosomal RNA
Source: RNAcentral
GGGGGCUGUACUCCUAUACUGCAGUCGAGCGGAAGAUGGGAGCUUGUCCUGAUGUUAGCGGCGGACGGGUGAGUACACGUGGGUACUGCCUGUAGACUGGGAUUACUCCUGAACCGGCGCUAAUACCGGAUGUUGUUGAAUGCAUGUUCAACAUAAAGGUGGCUUCGCCUACCACUUACAGAUGGACCCGCGGCGCAUUAGCUAGUUGGUCGGGAAGGGCUCACCAAGGCAACCAUGCGUCGUGGACCUGAGAGGGUGACCGGCUAUACUGGGACUGAGACACGAUCAAACUCUAUACGGGAGGGAGCAGUAGGGAAUCUUCCGCAAUGGACGAAGUCUGACGGAGCAACGCCGCGUGAGUGAUGAAGGUUUUCGGAUCGUAAAGCUCUGUUGUUAGGGAAGAACAAGUACCGUUCGAAUAGGGCGGUACCUUGACGGUACCUAACCAGAAAGCCACGGCUAACUACGUGCCAGCAGCCGCGGUAAUACGUAGGUGGCAAGCGUUGUCCGGAAUUAUUGGGCGUAAAGGGCUCGCAGGCGGUUUCUUAAGUCUGAUGUGAAAGCCCCCGCUCAACCGGGAGGGUCAUUGGGAACUGGGGGACUUGAGUGCAGAAGAGGAGAGUGGAAUUCCACGUGUAGCGGUGAAAUGCGUAGAGAUGUGGAGGACACCAGUGCGAAGCGACUCUCUGUCUGUAACUGACGCUGAGGAGCGAAACGUGGGAGCGAACAGGAUAGAUACCCUGUAGUCCACGCGUAAACGAUGAGUGCUAAGUGUAGGGGGUUCCGCCCCUUAGUGGCUGCAGCUAACGCAUUAAGCACUCCGCCUGGGGAGUACGGUCGCAGACUGAAACUCAAAGGAAUGACGGGGCCCGCACAUGCGUUGGAGCAUUGUUAAUUCGAGCACCGGAGAACUUACAGGUCUGGACAUCCUCUGACAAUCUAGAGAUAGACGUCCCCUCGGCCAGAGUGCAGUAGGCAUGUGUUCGUCAGUCAGUCGUGAUGUGUUAGUUCGCACAGGCACUUGAUCUUAGUGCAGCUCAGUGGCACUUAGGUGACUCGCGUGGCAUC